RNAcentral lists this long non-coding RNA (3449 nucleotides) under Zea mays. RNAcentral describes it as "long non-coding RNA (ZMAY_LNC000582)". The record is from RNAcentral. Lineage: Eukaryota; Viridiplantae; Streptophyta; Magnoliopsida; Poales; Poaceae.
CAAACAGGCACACACAACACGGCCUGCCGGCCGGGAGAGCCUAAUCAGAUCUACUUCUGUGAUUCGAUCAUAGUAUGCUAUUUAUGGUUUGUGUGAAAUUACUGUCCCCUAACUGGUGAACCAGGUGGUGUUCAGGCGUGGUCACCGGUGUCACGCGUCAUCACCAGAGCUUGGCUAGCGAGCGGCGAUGGGCUAGCGCAUGCAUGUGACAGCUAUAGGUAGGCAGUCACGGCCAUGCAUGCCCAUCUUUCUCUGUUCUCUAUAUAGUACGGGCCUCUUUUGUUUCGUAACUAAGGUAUCAUAAUGUAUCUAGCUAAGUUUAGAGUCUGUUCCAAAGCAUACGGUUUUUUAAGAAACUCGUUUAUAGAAACUAGAGUGAUUCUAACUGUACCAGUUUAUAGUUUAUGUUCCAGUUUAUAGAAACUGGAUUCUCGGUUUCUUAAAAACCAAAGAGCUUCUCUCUUCGGGCUAAAACCAGAUUUUGCUUGUUUAAUUACAUCAUGGGCUUCUUGGUUUUAUAAAAUUUACAUCCAUUGACACCACUUUUAAAAAUAGAGGAAGGGCAUGGUAGUAAUUGUGUAUAAAAAAACUAAAAAUUGGUUUAUUAGAAACCGAGUUACAAACAUCCCUACCCAAUUUUUUUUUCUAUAAACGAGUUUCUAUAAAGCAGGGAUAGAAACCGAUGUUUAAAAACCCGGUGUGUUUCAGGUUAGUCAUUUGAAGAGAAAAAUUAGAUAUAACUUAGAGAGGAAACAAAAGAGACUUAUAGCCUAAUAUCUGUACACAUCGGACGCCGCUACUAUUCCGCAACCCCAUAUAGAUGACCAAGUAGAUCGUGCUAAAUGAGUCGGCACUAAGCACGGCACGACCCGUAGUGCUUCGCCACGAUACGAUUCAUAUAGUGUCAGUGUCGGCACGACACGUGUCUAGUGCUGUGCUUGGGCCUCCGUCCCGGUACGAUGGGCUGGCACGAGCACGACAUGAUUAGGUGGUCAAUACGAUUAGGCACGGCUUAGACCAACUGGUAGUAUGUAGAUGUGAUGUGUGGUAUGUACUUGUGAUUGUGAAUUAUGAUUUCUUAUGGUUUUAAGCAUAAUAAAUCCACUUUACAAUGGUAUUCAUGUUCAAGUUCUAAAAUUAUACAUAUAAUCUUAGAGAUCUUGUAUGUUUUUUGAGCUCUCAAAAAUAAUGCCUCGACUGGCACAUGCACUAUUAGGUGUUAGUUACGUAUAGUGUCGACACGGCACGAUUAGGCACUAUAGUGUAAUGACUGGGCCGAUGACUAGGCACUAGUGCCGGCACGACACGAUUACUAAUAGUGCCUAACAGUGUCGUGCCUAAUAAUACUGGUGCCAGUGUCGGUCCGAACGACCCGUUUGGCCAUCUAUACCCCCUUGCCCCCCUCCCUCGCCAGUUCACCUAGCCGUUUUUAGGGCAUGUACAACCAUAUUAAUUAAGGGGUCUCUAGACAUUUUUCUACAAAAGACUCAAAAGAUAAACUCUUCACGAAGAGCUCGUCUCUUCAUGAUUUUCUAUACAUAUCAUCUCUUAACUGCAUUAAUGUUUUAGUAACUCAAGCUUAUAUGAAGCAUUUUUAGCCGUCUUUUCUACUUGGAAAAACGAGCAAGACGCUUUAGAUUGUACAUGCUCUUAUAGUCUAAGGCUAUCUCCAGCAACGUCCUCUAAAUUUCAUUCGCUAAAGGAAUAUUAUCUGUCAUUUACAACACACUCUAAGGUAGUGUUUGAUUGAAGAGCCAAGUAGAACGGAACCGUUCUGUCCCAGUUUUGUUGCUGUUUGGUUACAAAGGAACUAGAACGGAAUGACUCCAAUUAGGGAAUAUUCUCCUCAGAUCCGGAACCAUUCCGCUCCAAAAAAUCAACCGGACGGAGCCGUUCCGUUCCCAUCCCGCUCUCACAGUCACGCUCCGUUCCGUUCACUCUGCAACCAAACAAAAAACAGAGUCGCUCCGUUCCAGAUUACCAAACACAGAACAGAGUAGUUCCGUUCUUAGAAUCAGGGAUGGAACGGCUCCGUUCCACUUGGCUCCUCAACCAAACACUACCUAAAAGAUUCUAUUAUCUCAGUCUCCAGUAACAUCUUCUAAAUUCGGUUCUCUAUAGCUACAGUGUUAAUAGAAUUCUUUUUGUCCAUUUUCUUUAGUUUAUAUUUGAUUUUCUUUUCAUUACACGCUAAUUCAAAAAAAACAUGCACGACAAUAGCUUUUUAAAAAUUUAGAUUGCGUAUUCCUUGACAUUAAGACUACAUACCGUACAUUUUGAAUAGAUUUGAGUAUCAUGCAAUAUUUACGUAAACAUGUUACCAGCCAUUUCCAUUUGUUUGUAUUUUUUCGUAGUCAUAUACACAAACCAAAAAGUAUGCCUAUGACGCACAGACAUUAUGUCGAACUCGUGGUAUGCACUGGCUGGAGAUGGUGCUCAUCAGAUGGUGCUGGAGAUGUCCUCUCCACGUUCGUCUCAUUCCCGAGGUACCACUACCGGAAUCGUAGGCUUUGCCGAGUGUCUGAUGCACUCGGCGAAGCUUUAAAAACACUCGGCAAACUCUUUGCCGAGUGUGGCACUCAGCAAAGAGGGCUCGGCAUACAGUGCAUCGGCAAAGCCGUCUUUGUCGAGUACUUUUUCUGGGGCACUCGGCAAAGAGGUUUGCUGAGUGCCAGAGAGCACUCGACAAAGAAAAGCAACCGUUACGGCGACGCGUGACGGAGACGAAGUCUUUGCCGAGUGUCUCGGGCGACACUCGGCAAAGAAGUUCACUUUGCCGAGUCUCUGCCAGACAGCACUCGACAAAGAACCCGCCAGAGAGGGUCCCAUGUCAGGCUCUUUGCCGAGUGCUCGGUACGACACUCAGCAAAGAAUGAUUCUUUGCUGAGUGUUAGAGACAUUGCACUCGGCAAAGAACCUAUACCGGUGCCCAGGUCUUGGUUCUUUGCCGAGUGCUAUGGCCUUGACACUCGGCAAAGAACCUCUUUGCCGAGUGUAACACUCGGCAAAGUGAGCAGUAGACACCUUUUUUAUUUGUUUUUUAUAUUCUAUCCAAACAAACAAAAGAUAUCACAUAUACAUCACAUAUAUACAUCACAGAUAUCAUCACAAACAUAAAUAUUCAACGCAGACAUAAAUAUCCAUCACAAACUUAAGUGUUCAACACGAGUAUCCAACACAAACAUAAGUCUCAUACGUCUCAAGCUCUGACAUAAGUAUCCAACACAAACAUAAGUAUUCAACACAAGUUCUGAAGUCUAUACACUGAAAACAUAACACUCAUGGAGGUGGGCGGUUCGACUGGUGCUACGUUGGGUUGAACCCUUCCGGAGGGUUGUAGGAUGCUGCCGCAGAUUGGCCCUGCACAGAGAAGAGAUUGCAUGUGUUAUACCAGAUGCAUUACCAACAUGUAACUACAAUUUUGAUACUCACAGGAGUAUGGAACUGAG